CUGGUUUAUAUUAGCAUUAGUCACAGUCAAGAGUAAUCAUCAGGAUUAUCUUUGGGCUGUGAAAAUAUACAUGAUUUGAGAGGAGGUUUUCCCCCCAGUUCAAACAGAACAAGUUUUCUUCUCAAUUCACCUUGCACAGGGCAAGGAUCCUGGCUGGGUCCAAGCUGGAGAGGCUGAAUUAGCAAAAUACUUUCUGAAUACAUAGAAACUCCCCAGUAUUCAUCUUCAGGAAGACCUGAAGGUACAACUGCAGCAGGAGAGCUGCCCAUGUCCCUCUAGUUGUACACACUUGAGUGAUCUGCAGCAUCCCCAUUGAAAUCCUCUGGGUUUCUCUCAUGGUUUUUGCGGGCUUUUCCCAUGCAUCUUAAGAGGACAAAAGCUGCUAUUGCAAGUUUCUUCGGAGAGAUGCAUCCUGGUCUGUGCCAGCCUGAAACAGCUGCUAGCAGAACCCACCAGCAUCAGCCUUCCCCCAGUCACUGUGAGCUCCUGCUGUGCCUGCACAGAGGAGAUGAUCAUGGAGAAACCCAUAUGGAGACAAAAGAAACCUAAAGGAAGAAGAACAAUGUUCCAGAUUUCAUGUGUUAGAGGAGCUCAUAACUGGGGAAGAAGGAGCUAAAGAAUAUGGAAAACAAACAUGAGUGUGCUUCAGUGCUGGUCUACCUUACUGAAUAUCCUGACACUGACUUCCUCCAAUACAUGGCUGUAUUUAGCUAUUUGUCUCUAGCUAUAUACUUAUUGUUUUGUUUAAAUAUUUCUACAUUUUUAUUUAAGAAUCAGAAAAUUCUGAUCCAAAACAACAUUAAUUACAUACAGAUUUUUUAAUCUCCCCCAAAAUCAUCAGAAACGGAAGUGGUAAAGUAUCCAAAGAAAGUUCUUGCACUACUGGUGAUGCCGCAUGCAGGACUGACUGCAAAUUGCAUCAGAGAGCAUAUUCCAGUAUUUCCGGAUCAAUUUUGAUGACUCAAUGGUCUGGAUAAUAUUUGAAAAAGCAGAUGGUCUCCUGAAUGCUUCUUUUGUCCAUCUCAUUAUUACUUAAAAAAUCACUUUAUAUGGAGUAGAUUGAAUUUGCCAAAUGUCAGAUGCAUUUCAUUGCUGCUAUUGGAGCUAUAGUUAUUAUUAUUAAUAACAAAAAUAAUAAAAUGGGAAAUAUCAACA
RNAcentral lists this long non-coding RNA (1155 nucleotides) under Coturnix japonica (Japanese quail). Its description in RNAcentral is "lncRNA (ENSCJPG00005011520.1)". Lineage: Eukaryota; Metazoa; Chordata; Aves; Galliformes; Phasianidae. The record is from RNAcentral.